Molecule: transfer RNA, 74 nt
Filed under: Bacteroidota bacterium
Lineage: Bacteria; Pseudomonadati; Bacteroidota
Description: tRNA-Ala
Rfam family: tRNA
About the family: Transfer RNA (tRNA) molecules are approximately 80 nucleotides in length.
Source: RNAcentral
GUGCCCGUAGUCAAGCUAGAUUAAGGCGCCGGAAUUGCACUCCGGAGACACCAGUGCGAAGCUGGUCGGGCACU